ACAGUCCAACAAACCACCAUGUAUGAACCCACCAUUUAACAGUUAUCAACCCACGGCCAAUAUUGAUUUGUCUGUACCUCCACUCACUCUCCAACCCUACCUUCCUGAAUUAUUUUGAAACAAAUUUCAGAUUAUAAAUCUUUUAGUCUGUAAAUAUUUUAGGAUGUAUCUCUAAAAGAUAAGGACUCUUAAAAAACAACCACAAUACCAUUAGCAUACCUGCAAAAAUGAAAAGUUUAUCAUCAUCAAAUUUCCAGCCAAUGCACAAAUUUCUUCAAUGAUCUCAUUGUUAUUUUUCAUUAUUUGUUUAUUUGAAUCUGAAUCCAAAUAACAUCCUGUGCUAAUUUCGUAUGUUGACUUGGCUAGGUUAAGGAAUAUCCAGAUAGCUGGUAAAACAUUAUUUCUGGGUGGGUUUGUGAGGGAAUUUUCAGAAGAGAUUAGCAUUUCUACAGUAAACUGAGUGAAGAUCCGUCCAGAUGAAACAAAAAGGCAGAAAAAAGGUGAGUUUGCUCUUUCUCCGAGAGAGCUGGAAUAUCCAUCUUCUCCUGCCCUCAGACGUCAGAGCUUCAAGCUCUUGGGCUUGCUGACUCCAAGAUUUACAACAAUGGCUUCACAGGUUCUCAGGCUUUCAGACUCAGACUGAAUUACAGCACCAGUUUCCCUGGUUCUCCAGCUUCCAGAUGGCAUAUUGUGGGACUUCUCAGCUUCCAUGAUCACCUGAGCCAAUUGCCAUAAUAAAUCUCCUCUUAUAUCUCUCUAUAUAUAUCCCAUUGGUUACAUUUCUCUGGAGAACCUUGAUUAACACAGAUCCAUAAACUGCAACUGCUUACAGUGAGAAGGAGCUGAAAAAAGAAGAGGAAGAACCUAAGACAAGGUAAAGAAGAGGGAGAAGGUACGAAAAAAAGUAAGAAAGUAAGAAAUAAAAGCAAGAGCAAAUGGGGUCAAGAGAAUAGAAGGAAUCUGGAUAAAGAUUCUAUUUUUUGAAAAGUAAUAAAAUGUCUUUCCCUGCAUCCUGAACCCAGGCACAAAGGCCUACUUUUCCUAGAUGUGACACUACUUCAAAAGAGACUGUGAGCAAGGGACUUUGCCAAGUCAAGAGAAUGCAAAAUUGAUACUCCACAUUACAGAAAGCAUUUAUUUUUAAUAGGUAGAUAGAUUUUAUUUUUUUAUUUUUCAAAUUCAGGCUAGUUUUUGCCAUAAUAUGAUUAUAAAUUUUAUAUCAGUUGUGCAAUGACAUUUUACAUAAACUGAGUGUUUACUACUAGGGAGCCAGUGAUCGAUUCCGGGAUCUUAAACUCUUUGCAGAGAAGCAGGCAGAGUGUGGCCAUAAUGCAUGGCUGGAUUGUGCUAAACAGGACUUUCUCAUGAAAAAAACUCAGUUAUAUUCAACCAAAAGAGGAUGACGAGAUAAAAUGGAACAUUUAAAUGAUAUAAGCUAAAUUUAAGCAGUUCAUGUAUGAAUUCUGCCUGAAAUUAGGAGAAACAUGAUAGCAUCAUUCAGAGCCAAAGAACUGGAUUUAUAUCUCAAUUCUGCCACUUGCUUGCUCGGUGACCUUGGACAAGUCAGAACUAUUUUCUCAGCUGGAAGGUGAAAGAAUCAUACCUGCUCUGGCUGCUACUGUGGGUGGAAGAUCAUCAUUAGAGUGCAUGAAGGACUUUGUAAACUGUAAAGUGCUCUGCAAAUGUUAGCAUUUUAUUUAAGAGAUUUUUAUUAUAUAUUGGAUGAAAUAAGGAAGGAGAAUUGGAAUGAUACAGUUUUUUAUUGCCUUAUACUAUAAUUCAAAUAUGAUACAGUUCAUUAUAUUUCAUAUUUAUGACUAUUUCAAUAAAAGGUUACUUGUCAAAACAUUUAUAUUAAACAAAAUAAACCUAUAAACCUAUUAUAGUAUUUUAUCUAUAGAACAUCAGAUUUGAUAUAUAUAAAGUAAAUCUUUUCUACAGAAAUAUUUAUUUCUCUUAUUAUACUUUUGUUGUAUAGAUAAUAUACUCAUAUAACUCAAAAACAAGAAAUUUAAAAAGAUAUGCAACAGAAAGUAUCAUUCCCAUCUUUGUCCCACAAUGGCCUAUUUCCUAUGCCUCUUCCAAUAAAUAACCUUCGAAUAAGGGUCUUAAAUAUAAUUUUGCAUUAUUAUUGCUUUAUGCAAUAAUAAUUUCCAUUAUUUGCUUUAUGCGUAUGCAAGCUUAAGUUUUUUUUUUGUUUUUUUUUGCAAUAACAUGGGUUUGGUUCUUUUGGUUUAGGGUAUGAGAAGAGGAGACAGGAGCUAACUCUGCUAGUCAACAACAUAACAUUCCCAAGUUCACACACUGGUUCAGUGACAGAGCCAGAUUUGGGCAAAAUUUGUUUGUUUCCGAAGCUGGCAUCCAGUUCAGCAUGUCAGACUGGAGAGGGCUGGAGUUGGAGGUCACAGAAAAACGCAAUGAGGAAAGAAGGGAAAUGACAAAGGGAGCAGGAAGAAGGCAGGCAUUGCGUAUUUUGCCUCUACCUGGGGAAAAGAUCCUAGUCUGGGAGUGGCAGGAGGUGAACCAUAAGCGAUGCGUGCCCACCUGCAAACAGGUGCCCAGCCUCUCCCCAAGCUGAGCAACUGUGUGCACAUCUAGCAGCUCAAGUGCUCUUCCUAGUAUGCCACUAUGGCUUGCAGUGAAGAUCCAAGGUCAACAGGGUAGAGUGAGCCCAUGGGGCCAUGUUUGUUCAUCUGAGGGGCAGGAGAGCUGGUGCUGCUUCGGUGAGAAAUUUUUUUUUCUUCCAAGUGAAACCCAGAAGUCCAUCAGACUCCUUUCCUCUGCAUGGUCGGAACCUGGAGAAAGGUCGUAAAUAACCCCCAAAGGUGAAGCUUCCUCUGCUAAGGUUGACUUUUUGAGGAUCCUAUCAAGGGGCAAACACUCUGACGCGUGCAGAACAUGUGGCUUAAAGAGUAACCUCGUAGCCUUUAGCUAAUUAGCUUGUUCUGGGAACUUUCUGAGAUGAUGUAAGAUCUUCUGUCAGAAAACUUUUGGAACUUAGAGAGAUUUGUUUACAAAUGGUUGGCUUGAUAUUUUUCUUGAACAUUAUAGUCUUACACACACACAACUAUCCAUUAUCAAACAGCAACGGAAUUAGUGGGAUUUGUUGGUGUCCUAUAUGUUUGUUUCUUUCUACCUGCCUUUAGUCACUUCAAAAUAACCCAAGAAUUCUAGUUUGAAUUUCAAAGAUGUUUCUAAACUUGUGUUUUUGUUGCAUUAUGUUAUCCUAAAAAUUCUCUUAAUUUCUCUUGAUUUUUUUUUCCGGUAUAAUUGUUUUCAUGUGUUUCUAUUUUCUUAAAUAUGAAAAGUAACACUUGGAAAACCACAUGUGUCUGCUCUAUCCCAGAACAGCAACUCAACAGAAAACACCUUGGAGUCUUGGAACUUGGUGAUUUUUCUUCCUUUCUUUCUUUCACAUAUUUUGAGCUGAAUUCAUAGUGUGUCCUGAUCCAAAAAAAAAAAAAUUGGCUAACAAGAAAGAUGCUGGGAAUGUUCAAUUUGUUCGUAUCUGUCAAAGCUAUCUUAGGAUUUAAACAAUUAUAUGAGCCAGGCAUCCACAAAAGAAGAAAAGAGAAGGUAAAGUGCUAUACAGUAAGAAUUUAAAAGCUUUUGAUAUCAGGAGUUCGAGAUCAGCCUCAGUAAAAGUGAGACCCUGUCUCUACUGAAAAAAAAAAAG
Molecule: non-coding RNA, 3676 nt
Organism: Microcebus murinus (gray mouse lemur)
Lineage: Eukaryota; Metazoa; Chordata; Mammalia; Primates; Cheirogaleidae
Source: RefSeq, a predicted model, not a curated record